This is a non-coding RNA of Triticum urartu, 130 nucleotides long. Lineage: Eukaryota; Viridiplantae; Streptophyta; Magnoliopsida; Poales; Poaceae. The record is from Rfam.
UUAGUACUCCCUCCGUCUCAAAAUUCUUAUUUUAAAUUUGUCUAAAUACGGAUGUAUCAAGUCACGUUUUAAUAUACAUCCGUAUUUAGACAAAUCUAAGACAAGAAUUUUGGUAAGGAGGAAGUACGUA